RNAcentral lists this ribosomal RNA (446 nucleotides) under uncultured bacterium. RNAcentral's name for it is "partial 16S ribosomal RNA". It matches the Rfam family "Bacterial small subunit ribosomal RNA", at positions 338 to 795 of the family's 1533-position model. The record is from RNAcentral.
CCUACGGGCGGCAGCAGUGGAGAAUCAUUCACAAUGGGGGAAACCCUGAUGCUGCGACGCCGCGUGGGGGAAUGAAGGUCUUCGGAUUGUAACCCCCUGUCUUGUGGGAGCAAAGUAAAAAGAUAGUACCACAAGAGGAAGAGACGGCUAACCCUGUGCCAACAGCCGCAGUAAUACAGAGGUCUCACGCGUUGAUGGGAAUCACUGGGCGUAAAGCGUGCGUAGGCUGUUUCGUAAGUUGUGUGUGAAUGGCGCGGGCUCAACCCGCGGACGGCACAUGAUACUGCGAGACUAGAGUAAUGGAGAGGGAAGUGGAAUUCUCGGUGUAGCAGUGAAAUGCGUAGAUAUCGAGAAGAACACUCAUGGCGAAGGCAGGUUCCUGGACAUUAACUGACGCUGAGGCACGAAGGCCAGGGGAGCGAAAGGGAUUAGAUACCCUUGUAGUC